UGAUACCAUUAAGAUAAGUACUAUAGGUCUCAAUGUUAGGCCUAUUACCCGGCUAGAUAAUGUACUGUUUCAGAUGAUACUACCAGGCUAAGAAAUUGAGUGUUGUGUAGUGCAGAUAGACGUGCACAGAAUGUAUUGAUACGAUCAGGUUAAGUAUUGUACCUUUUCAGAUAGUGUGGCAAAAAUUCUGAUCGGGUUUUCCAGAAAUCCAGGUUGGAUAAUUCCGGGAUUCGGAAGGGAAUAAGUAGGAAAUCCAGGUUGGAUAAUUCCGGGAUUCGGAAGGGAAUAAGUAGGAAAUCCAGGUUGAAUAAUUCCGGGAUUCGGAAGGGAAUAAGUAGGAAAUCCAGGUUGGAUAAUUCCGGGAUUCGGAAGGGAAUAAGUAGGAAAUCCAGAAUCCUCCAACAAGGACUUCUGGAAAAUAAAAAACAUGUUGGGAAACCCUAGUUUCAGAUGUAUUGUUAAUACCAGGCUAUGUUCUGUACUGUUUCAGAUGUAUUGUUAAUACCAGGCUAUGUUCUGUACUGUUUCAGAUGUAUUGUUAAUACCAGGCUAUGUUCUGUACUGUUUCAGAUGUAUUGUUAAUACCAGGCUAUGUUCUGUACUGUUUCAGAUGUAUUGUUAAUACCAGGCUAAGAACUGUCUGGGUGACACUGCUUCUCCAACACGCUUCUCCUUCCUUCCACUGUGCAUUAUUCAAUCAACACAAUUUAUUAUAGAGACAAAAUAAUGCUCAGAAACAUGAUUUAUUAUAGAGACAAAACAAUGCUUAGAAACAUGAUUUCUCAUAGCAACAAAACAAUGCUUAGAAACAUGAUUUCUCAUAGCAACAGAACAAUGCUUAGAAACAUGAUUUCUCAUAGCAACAGAACAAUACUUAGAAACAUGAUUUCUCAUAGCAACAAAACAAUGCUUAGAAUCAUGAUUUCUCAUAGCAACAGAACAAUGCUUAGAAACAUGAUUUCUCAUAGCAACAAAAUAAUGCUUAGAAACAUACUGGUACUUGACUCCCCUCUGCCUGUCUCUCUGUUUCUGUAUGUACCCCCAUUCCCUGUGCUUGAGCUAAAGCAUGCGUACUACUACUAAUAAUGCUGUCAGGUGUCUUACUAAAGGGAUCUAUAACUUAUCUACAGCUGUAUAUGCCAUCUUGAAACGCCAAAUGCUGCCUUAUGGUUUUUCCUUAAUGCUCCAGUUCACAGUUUGGUUCCAGAAGAGCACUUCACCAUUUCACCUAAAGGAGAUUGGGACACAUGAAGAAAAAGUCAAGCCAUUGUCCCGUUAUUCUGUCACAACACUUUGCUUUGUUGCAAUGUUAUUUAGUUGUUGUUUAGUUCAUCACACAAGAAGAUUGUGUGCAUACUAACAGGUUAUGAGCAGAAACCCCAUUGUGUGCAUACUAACAGGUUAUGAGCAGAAACCCCAUUGUGUGCAUACUAACAGGUUAUGAGCAGAAACCCCAUUGUGUGCAUACUAACAGGUUAUGAGCAGAAACCCCAUUGUGUGCAUACUAACAGGUUAUGAGCAGAAACCCCAUUGUGUGCAUACUAACAGGUUAUGAGCAGAAACCCCAUUGUGUGCAUACUAACAGGUUAUGAGCAGAAACCCCAUUGUGUGCAUACUAACAGGUUAUGAGCAGAAACCCCAUUGUGUGCAUACUAACAGGUUAUGAGCAGAAACCCCAUUGUGUGCAUACUAACAGGUUAUGAGCAGAAACCCCAUUGUGUGCAUACUAACAGGUUAUGAGCAGAAACCCCAUUGUGUGCAUACUAACAGGUUAUGAGCAGAAACCCCAUUGUGUGCAUACUAACAGGUUAUGAGCAGAAACCCCAUUGUGUGCAUACUAACAGGUUAUGAGCAGAAACCCCAUUGUGUGCAUACUAACAGGUUAUGUGCAGAAACCCCAUUGUGUGCAUACUAACAGGUUAUGAGCAGAAACCCCAUUGUGUGCAUACUAACAGGUUAUGAGCAGAAACCCCAUUGUGUGCAUACUAACAGGUUAUGAGCAGAAACCCCAUUGUGUGCAUACUAACAGGUUAUGAGCAGAAACCCCAUUGUGUGCAUACUAACAGGUUAUGAGCAGAAACCCCAUUGUGUGCAUACUAACAGGUUAUGAGCAGAAACCCCAUUGUGUGCAUACUAACAGGUUAUGAGCAGAAACCCCAUUGUGUGCAUACUAACAGGUUAUGAGCAGAAACCCCAUUGUGUGCAUACUAACAGGUUAUGAGCAGAAACCCCAUUGUGUGCAUACUAACAGGUUAUGAGCAGAAACCCCAUUGUGUGCAUACUAACAGGUUAUGAGCAGAAACCCCAUUGUGUGCAUACUAACAGGUUAUGAGCAGAAACCCCAUUGUGUGCAUACUAACAGGUUAUGAGCAGAAACCCCAUUGU
Molecule: long non-coding RNA, 2385 nt
Organism: Oncorhynchus keta (chum salmon)
Lineage: Eukaryota; Metazoa; Chordata; Actinopteri; Salmoniformes; Salmonidae
Exons: 3
Source: RefSeq, a predicted model, not a curated record